AUGUCGGGAGGCCAAGAAGGCGGCGAGGACUCAGAUCACAUCAUGGACCUAGGUGAAGAUCAGAAUUCCUUUAAAACCAAAAGGUCAAGAGCCACAAAUUGGCCCUCAGUAAUGUCAAAGUUUCUACUUAAUUGGUACCUUGAGAAAAAGAAGGCGAUGCCACCUAAGACCAAAUUCAAGAAGACACACCACCAUUAUUGCCAAGCUGCACUAAAUGCUAGAUUUGAGUCUGCUUACACUGUUGAUCAGGUCCAUCGCCAUUUGAGGCGUUUCAAGGAGGUUUGGAAUAUUGUGGCGCGUUAUAUGAACGAGAACGGGAGCAGGUUUGACAAGAAAAACAAAAUGUUAAUACUACCUUCUGCAACCAUGGCUGCUCUACCUUUAGCAGAACGUGCUAUUCUCGUUAAACCUAUUCCAUUCUUCGACCAUUUGCAAGCUCUCUUCAGCGAUUGCCCAGUUGAUGGUGCCUCUAUGACAGACCUGUUGACAGAUGCUGACUUAAAUGAUGAUCAGAUGGAAACCCAGGAUCCGUUGAACAUGAUGGUUGUUCAUGCAGACACAGGGGACCCACACGAGGCAGGCUUGGACAAAGUUGUUUUGGGGGGUGAAGAUGAGUGUCAUGAGGUUGCAGUUAUUAGCGCUGUUGGUACAGUACCAUGUGAAGUUAUGUCAGGCACUAGUGCACCAUCUGCUGAACCAUCAGGAUCUGCUGAGAGCACAAUAGCUGCUCUCAAACCCAGCUUGAAGCAGUGCAAGAUAGUCAGCAAAGCAAAAGCAAAUCCAAAGCCACAGGCUGUUGCGCUACAUGAUAGCAGGAAACCAGACGCGUUCAACAGGAACUUAAUGGGGAUCCAUGACAGACUCGCUAAACCAACACGGACAGCACCACCACUGUCAGACCCAAAUGCUCCUCUGUGGAACAUGCUAAAGGAAAUUCCGUUGACACCUGCUGAUAGGCUGUCAGUAGGCAUUUAUCUUUGUAAGCCAGAGUUUGAAGUGCAUCGAAGUUUUUUCAUGAGUAUGGGUAAGGAGUACCUAGAGGCAUGGGCCCACAAGUUCUUGAGUGGAGGGGAGCCUGGAGCCUUGUAG
Molecule: ribosomal RNA, 1089 nt
Filed under: Triticum aestivum (bread wheat)
Lineage: Eukaryota; Viridiplantae; Streptophyta; Magnoliopsida; Poales; Poaceae
Description: partial small subunit ribosomal RNA
Source: RNAcentral